GGCCUCAGCCCGGCCCCGCCGCCCGCCUCCCUCCCUGCCCCGCUGUCAGAGCCGCCCGCCCGCGUGGCAGCGGGCACUGCGGGGCGUGCGGCGUCUCCCUGCCGUGGCUGCUUUGGUACUGGGGGACGACAGCUGCGUCCCACGCGGUGUCUGUCCGUCCGCCCAUCCAUCCAUCCAUGCAUCCAUCCAUCCAUGCAUCCAUCCAUCCAUGCAUCCAUCCAUCCAUGCAUCCAUCCAUCCAUCCAUCCAUCCAUCCAUCCAUCCAUCCAUCCAUCCAUCCCUGCGUGGGCGGCGGCUCGUGUGUGUGUGUGACUGACAGUGAGGCGCGCACAGCGCGGGGCAGCCGCUCGCACGCAGCCCGCCGGGUCCACGCCGGCGCGCCCCGGCUGCGGCAGCCACUUCUCCGUCCCCCGGAGCCCUCCCCGGUGGGGACAACCUCAGCGACCUCGCUGCUCGUCCUCCUCCUCCUCCCUCCUGGCGGGACCUUCGCCUUCUGAAACGGGAACUGAAAUUUGGCUCGUCAGCAUCGAGUUGCUGAUGAAAAUCUUGGUCACCUCAGCAUUUGCCAUCUUUUUGUCAGCUUAAGAAAAAAACCUAAAAACUUAUGAGAAGUGUUUUGUACGUAUGAUAAACAUAUUUAUGAAAGUGACUGCUAAAUUAUCCAUAAAUCCUGUCCUUGAGGCUAAAAUCCUGUAAGAAAAUAGAUAAACAUUAUAAUAUAAUUGUAUAAUUAAAGCCUUUACCAUAAUACUUAUUCUCAUCUAAAGGUUGCACAUUAAGUGCAGUACUUAAGUACUGUGAGGAGACUAGAGUAAAUAUAGUUGUUGACACUGUGUUGUGAAAUGUACAAAAUUAAAUGUUAAUAUAAUUUUUUUAAAGACUUGAUUUCAAGCACUUUGUUAGAGCUUUAUGAUCAGGAUCAUUACAUGUUAGGAACUGAGACUGCCUGUGUAUGGACAGGAGGAGAACUUGAACUGUAGUUGGGAGUAUUCUAGUUUCCUGAGCUGCUAGUCGAGGAAGGAAAGACUUGAACUUGUGCAGUUUAUUUUUGUCUGUUUAUUUUCCAUUAAUAACAUUUGAAUCCCUUAGCUAGUAUCAGCCACAAUGAACAAAAAGUUUUGAAAAAUAAUCUGAAAAGGAGCAUGUCACUCCUCAAAAAACCAGAGGCACAAAUGGCAAUACCUAUUACAUCAAAAAAUCCAUCCACAGACAACUGCUGUCUGAAACACAAAUUAAUAGAAAUCAUGUUUCUCUGUCUCCUUUUCUUAUUAAUUGAUUUGCUUUUAUGUGAGAAGUGACAGGAACUUUUCUAUGUUUUAAACUGUAACCAUUAAAUCAGAAAGCACAGAUCUGGAAAUAUCAGUAAUGUAACACUUAAGCAUUCCUUCAUUCUUUAGAAUGUUAUUGUUAUUUUUUAUGUAUCAUCCAUUUCUAGGCCAAGUCUUUCAGAUUCAGGAGGGAAUACUUUGUCACAUGUCUGUAAAGCAGCCAGCCCUCUACAGUCUCUGGGUAGAUUCUGGCACUGUACUCAUAAGGAACAGUAAGUAAUUCACUGGUAGAGAGAGCAAACACUGUUCUUCCUGAAACAAACUGAGCAGCAUGGAAUCAUUUUUGUGACAUUGCAUAAGCUAAGUAGUACUUGGGUUAUGUAUCUGAGUCCAGGGGCAUUUUUAGGAGAAAACAUGGUGACUGCCAGGGCAGCUAGUGGAAGUCACGGUUGCAUUAAUUUAGGUAGCCAUAUCAGUCAUACUUUGCAAGUAUGUCAAAGGAGCCUGUGCCCAGCACCCUCACACUCACAGUGUCUGUCCUGGGAGCAGGUUGUGCUACAGGCUUUGGAAGACCAAGGACCCAUGAGGUCUCCACAAAGCCUGUUGGAGGGGAAAACGAACACUAAGCCAUGAUUCUUGGGCAUGCAAGCAAAGAAAGCUUGGGUAUUGAUGCUCAUGGUCAAACUCUUCCAGGCAGGCCCACAAUUACAGGGUAAAAAAUGUUGAAAUUAUGAUGAAAUUUGAUGUAAAAUCUUUGGUAAAAAAAGCUUCCAGUGCUGAAAUCAAAGUGGUAUACUUGGCAUUACAGCAGUCUGAAGCUAUAUUCAAACAUUUUUUUAUGCCCUGAAGAAAAUUGUAGGCUAUAUAGGACCUCAGACAGUUCCUGUAAAAUACAAAGCAUGUUUACAAUGCCCUUUACAGUGAAAUAGUAAAGUUUACAUGUUGUUUUAUAUAAUUUUUGGAAAGUAACUUUCAAAGAGAGCUGAAAAAUAAAUACAUGAAGCUAGAAAUUAUACCUGGUUUACAUUGCAUACUUCUAUUUCCUUCAUGAAUAUGCCCUAACAAAAAUAAAUAUAUAUUUAUAUAGAUAUAUAUUUUUAAUUUACAAAUGUAUAUUAUAUACUGUACACAAUAAAUUCUACACAGUGUAAAAUUUAUAAUUUUAUAUGUGGUAAGGUAUAUCACAUAUAUAGAUAUACUUAUAUAUAUAUAUAUACAACUUAUAUGUGGCAAGGUAUAUCACACAGACAGUGUUUGCUGCACUACAUAGUACAUGCUGCAUGCUGUAUGUAACAGUGCUACAUACAGUACAAGUUGAUGUAUUCUGUGCUUGUAAAUAAAUUUGUAUUUAUAUUAUACUGCAUAUAUUAACAUCUAUAUAGAUAUAGCAGAUUAUAUUGUCAUAUGUUAGCCAUUACAGGCAUAAACAUCUUCUGUAUAUACCUAUGUGCCUCAUUCAGCUUCUUUCAAUACCUCUUUUCAGACCACUCUCUGUAGGAAAGGUGAUCUUAAUUGACUCACUGUUGCUGUGUGCUUCAUUGCAUUUGGUGUUUUCUAGUGGAAGGCAGAUUUAGAACAUAAGCUAGCUGCAGGUAUAACAGUGUGGGAUUUGGCCCACAGUUGGCACAAGUUCAGAUACAGUAUGUUAAGUGCCUCCAGCCUGCUUAAAGUCACAGAAAUUACCGUGAGCCUUCAGACUAUAAAUUUAUCUAUUAAUUCAUUUUUUACUUGGACUUUGAUUGCAGUGAUAUCAUGUUUUUAAGUGAAUACACUCAUCUGUGAGUAUCUGUAGAGUAAAGGUGAUGAAGUGAUUUGGUUCUCAUUUGCAGGUUGAAAAACCCUGUUGGCAUUCUGCAUCUUUCCAGUCUUGGUGCACCUUUGUUGUAGGAAGACCAUUAUUCAAAUUAAGAUUGUUUAAUGAGAGAUAGCAAUUAAUAAUUUCUGUGUGAAUUUUAAGAAGCUAAUAAAGUUUCAGAGCUCUGUGUGCAUGUGUGUAUGUCUGUGUAUGGGAGUGUGGCAUUCUGUAUUUUUCAGCGAAAUAAUUGUUAAGAAGAAAUUAAAUCAACUGUUAAGAAAAUAUUAAAUCAACUAAUAUGUGUAUGAAAAGAACCACCUCUCUGAUUGUUAAUUUUGUGUCCAGUUGACAGAUUUUUGUGAGGUUGUUUAUUAAACACUAUCCUGUUUUUGUUGUAAUGGCUUGAGAUUUUUUAGUGUUAUUAACAUAAAAAACUUUUAAAUAUUAUUUUUUCACUAGGGAAAAUGAAAAUGCUACAAAUGUUGAAACCCUGAUGGUACUUUCUGUAACUGUCUCCAUUAGCUGUUUGGGUAAGUCCCCUACUGGAAUAGUCCCUUUUUGCCACAUGCCACUGUCACACAGUUUUAGCUGAAUCCAGAAUUUUACAGGUCCUCUACUAAGCUUAGUGCUUCUCUGUUACAUUACAGGUUGUGUCUUUUUGUCACAGAGUCUGAAUCUAAAGAAUGCAUGUUAUGAUCACGUGUUGUUCUGGCCUAUGUCGGAUUACAUUCUGGUUACGUUCUAUUUUUUCUGCACUGAUUUCGGUUCCAUAAAUACACAUCUCAAACUUCUCUCAUGUCCAUAAGCAGGCUGGUGUGGUAUGUAUUCUUGUCAUCUCCAAGUGAUACAAGGGAUAAUAACAUGAGUAUUAUAUUGGCAAAUCAUCUAGGCCACCUUCUGUAAACUUUAUAUUAACAGCUAGUGAUCAUCAGCCUGUGUCUCACUACACCUUUAUUCAUACACACAGAUAGCUCUGUCACUAGCAUAACAUUUAAUCCUUGUCCUGUUAGUGAAAGAGACACAUGUACUCACGUUUUGUGAUAAAAUUCAUAGAAAUAUAAUUAGAAUAUAGAAUUCUAUGACAAUAUAUAGCCAAAACAGGUCUUUCUAUUGAGGUUAGUUUUCUCUGUAACCAUCAACCAUGGCCCAAUCCAAUUGUUUUCUUUUCCAGCUCACAGUGACACAGAACACAGCACAUUGUAACUACAGGAACAGACUAGACUGUGAAAGAUCUCUAUCAGGCAUCACAGAGAAUUUGAGGCAGCUGGCAGUUAUCAGCUGAAGUAGUUAGCCAGUAGAACUGUACAAGCUAAAUAGAUAAUUGAAAAGCAAUCUGGAAACCUGGGAGAGAUAAUAAGCCUCUCUUCUAGAAGGGAGUAACAACUCAGGUAGGUCACAAAUGAACUCAACUCCCAGAUCAGUGCUUUGCCUAAUAACACUGAAAAUACAGCAGCAGUUCAUACCUGUGAGUUCUGAAGUAGUAUUGAAAUUCUUGUUGGACAGGCAGUUUGGCAUAUUCAGUUAUACAAAUCAUUAUUACAAUAGAGUGAAAAGGAUUGUACUGCUGUAAUACAGAUGACCAAAAUCCCAGGAGCAGCAAGGCCCUUUGUUAAAUUACAGUUGCCAAAAUAGAAAACUAGUUGCACACACUUUUUACCAUCCAUGCUACUUUGUUGAUACUGACGUGCAACCUGUAGUAUCCCUGCCACACUGACCACGGUUGUCUGUGGGGCAAGUGACUUCUUUUUUUUGUGUAAUUUAUAUUUAUAUUAAUAUAAUGGAAUUAUUUUUGUUUUAUUUACCAUAAGCACAGAGAAGGGAGGGAAAAGGCCAAUGUCUGUGAGUAAAAUAAUGUGUUUAUCUUAUUAGCUGCAUUUUAAAAGAGUCCUAAAGACUUUCUGUUCAAGUCACUCUUAUGAUUCUCAAAUUUCUGACUACAGAAAGUGUGAAAUCUUGCAUGAACAUGCAAGGAAACAGAUACAAUUUGGUAACUCCUCUUGCUAGGUUCUGAUGUCUUGUAGAAUUAUGUUGAUUGUAGGGAAAGAGCAUGAGAUAUUUUUGUGAGAGUGGGCACAGAAAAUAAGUUUUUGGCCUUUUACAAAAAAGAAAGUAGCAUCUUUCUAUCAAAGAAGUGCUUGAAUUGAUCCACUGCCAACUGUUUAUUUUGUUAAACCACUCAGGUGGAUCAUAGGAAAUAACAGUUGCCAGUGUAAUAUUAAUUCUUGUGGAGCUGAACAAAACAAACAAACAAAAACCCCAAACAGCCAACACAACAAAACAAAACAAAAACCAAAACAACAAAAAAAAACCCUUUUGCUUCUCAAUUUAUUUUGAAAGAUGCUUUUAAAAAUCUCUCUCCAAAAAUUCAGUGCAAAAAAUUCUGUACAUUUACACUGAAAGAACAUAGAGCAAAACACAUGCAUCACAGUUUUUUACUAUAUUAUUUGCUACAAUUAUACAGUGGCAGUUACAGUAUUAGUUGCUACAGUACAGUAGCUAGGAAAGCAGCAUAGUAAAUUCACAAAAUCCGUUAACAAAUAUUUGCGUGUGUCCAUGUUGCUGGUUGCAGAAAUAAUGUGAUUAAUCUGAACAGUCUGUGUAAAUCAUAAAAAGUAACCACUGCUUUUAUGUUUUAGGUAUUGUUCUAAUAUCUGUUUUACUAUGGUAGUGGGACGAAUUAAUUGUGCGCAUAUGUAAAUUCUGCUUCUAUGUAUUGACUGCUGAGGAUGUUUUCCUUUCAUAUCUCAUUCUGUGACUGCUAAACCAAAAAAAAAAAAAAAAUUGCAAAGUUUUAAAGUUUACAAAUGCAUGAAAAGGGCAUGUUUGCUGUUUUGAGGCCUGAUACAUCUUUCCAUUAUAAUCCUAAUGAUAGAUUUCUGUCAGUCUAGGUCCAUUUUUUACAUCAGUUUUCAGUUUAGAUGCAAGCGUACAAUUAUAAAUUACCAUUGUGUUGUAAGAUAUACUUAACACCGUUAGAUUACAAAACUUCUUAGGUAGCAGGAGAAUGUCCUCUCUGAGUUACUUGUUUUUAUUUUCUUUUAAAAGAUGAAAUAACAAAAGAAAUUUCUUUUUAGAUAAAAUUCCAGAAUCUGCCUAAAUAUGUAUUAUAUAAGAAUCCAAUAUAGCAAUAAUCAUAAUCUAAAAAGACGUUGGCAUCAUGCUGUUGUAAACAGUGCAAAUAAUACUUAGAAUAAUAUGCAGAGUCAGAAGUAAGAAAGCAUCAUUCAGAGGGAAACAUCCUUAUAAUUAGGAUAGAAACAGAUCUAUUUUACUUUUUUCUCUCUCUUAUGAAGCCUUUGAAUAUUUCAGUCUUUUUCUGUGCUGUGCUCCAGAUUCAACAGGAAAAGUGAAGAAUAAAUAAUUCAGCUCAGGCUCACACUGUAUAAUUGAGAUUUAGGCUCUACUGUAGGAGGACUGAACAGAGGAAGUUCUUAGAAACUCUUUGUGGUCAAGUUCACUAAUUGUGCAUGAAGGGAAAGAUCCUUCAUUAUCUGGUUGUGCUCAAAUAUUAAGUCAUUGCUCUAAAUCUCAGGGGAUGAAGGUGUCUGUUCUAUAUAGACACAUGACUUAGAUUAACUGUUCAGACAUCAUAGCUGAGUGUUUCCAAAGCUUUUUGCUCUACCAUCAGGAAAAAUGAAAAGGCUUCCCCCUAAAGGGUUCUGAAUUUCAUCAUUGAGGCACUUAAGUCCCUGCUUGAGAACUGGCUGCCUAAGGAGCUAUAUGUAAACCCUCCUGCAGCUAUAAUAUUCUGAAUAAGGCCCUUGAGCAUAGAUAGGUUUGCAGAAAUGUUAAGCAUCAAUAAGCAUGGGAUCAUAUUCUGCAGUCAAGGUAACAUGACAGUCCAACUUCUAAACAGGUUCACAGAACAUAGUGAAUUUUUUGAAUACCAUAAGUACAUUGAACUAAUCUUCAGUACUUCACUUGUUAUUCAUUGUGAUGAAAGUACUGGAAUAUAUGUUCAAAAUCAUACAUUAAAAGCUUUCACUUCAUGUCAUUAUGUUUUCUUAUUAUAAUCCUUGUUUACUUUGCAACUCACUUCUGGGAUUACAGAGUGGGUAAAACCUUAGAAAUAGAAGUAUGAUUGGACUAAUAGUGCUUGGCAUGCUUCAAAACUGUAAAAAUCAUCAGUAUAUAAUGUAUUUACUUUCUUUUUUGAUUAUGUCAAAAAUGUGCAUCUACAUUUCGGGGGACAGAUGCAAAAAAAUUUUUCUCCUAAUGCACAAAUCAACAGCAGGAAACUUUUGAAGAAGAAAACACACAAUAUUUGCAUGUGUGGUUCUAAUGUCUUCUAUAAGGAAGCAGAAAUCAACUUUCCAUUUGGGGAAUGUCUCAGAUUGCUAAUCCAAACCCUGUUAUCCCAGCAAAUGGCAAUGGCAAUUUGUUUGCAGGUAUUCACAUAUGUCCUCUUAUUUUUUGGUGAUUUUCUUGUUCUUUAACAAUAAGGCCUGAUAUAACUUCCACUGGUACCCCAGGAUCACACUGUUUUGUUUUGUUUAUUCCACAAAAUCAGUAAUAAUAGUUUCUUUUUUCCCAUUUACAUUUUUUUGUCAGUCAUUGUCUCAUUGUCAGUAAUGUCGUUGGAUGUACAAGUCUGAUACUGAAUUGAUAUUCAAAUACCUGCUUCUUAUCAAAUAGUUUGAAUUCUGGAACAUUUUAUUGUGGUCUAGGGUGAGACUUAGGUACAGAUUGAGACAUCUUAGGCAUCUAUAUGGAAGAGCUCAGGUGUAAACUAUAUGUGUAAACUCUUGCUCUAGACAAGUCAAUGCAAUCUGUGGACCCAUCUUGGUGCCUUGUGUGCUGAUGAACUGCUUUGCAGAUGUUUCAGAGGGAACUGAGUUGUUCUCUAAACUCCAUCUGAACACAGACAAAAAUUAUGGCAUGAUGUGAAAUGUACUGUCAGUUUCUGUCUUGCAGCUCUCUACAGGAUGAAAUUCCCAGAAACUGGUAAAAUACAUUUAAAAUACAUAUUUUAACCACUAAGUUCCUGGAAAAAAAAACAGUGAAAAGAACUUUCUCCCAAAAACAAAUCAGGAUUCUGUAAAAUUGUUGAUCUUCACUUGUCAUUUGCUGUGACUCGUGCACAUCAUACAACAGUAUCCAAAGCUAUUGGCCAGUGAUUCUGUCUACUGUGGAGUCAUUCAUCCCUUAUCCUAGUGGUUUUUUGCUUCUCAGCACCAACACAACAGGUUUUUUUAGAGUAUUGGGUUAAUCUGAAGGUCUCCAGCUAAUAUACUAUGAAGCAGGUUGGAAUCUAAGCAUAAAAUAAGAUCAGAAAGCAAUAGCAGAGGACACAGUCCAGGUUAUGGUCAAACUAAGGUUACACAGUGUAGCUACUGCCCCAGCUACACAGACAGAGCCUAGACAGCUGCAAAGCAGUGGCAGCCAGCCAGCAAGCCUGAAUAGAUGAAGAUAAGGCCAAGAGGAGGAGGACUUAAAUCUCAGAUAUUAGCUGCUCUAAUAUAAAAUGAACAAGCUAUAUAAUAACCUGACAUACCCAGAAAAUAACUAGAACAGCUAGUUGGAAACAAAGUCCUUGAAGUUUCUUGUGCAACUUUUCAAAUCGAAAUUAUCGUAGCCAAAUUACUUAAAAAUAUUAGCUUUUAAGAUGCACUUAGUCCUAAAAAUUUGCAUAUACUAGGUACAUCAUAUACAGUCUUUGCCCUCAAAUACAUCAUAAACUCAGUAAUUUAUUUAUUUUUUUUUUUAAUGUGAGGCCAUUAAAUUGAGGCUGUGACUUCAAAGGCACAUUACAGUUUAUGCAAAGGUAAUCCUGGUUUUCCUUCUUUGGCUGGGAAUUAGAAUCUGUUAUCCCAGCUAUACUGUUUUUAGUAUCCUAACUAACCCACUCUUCAUGUGGGCUAGUUAGGAUACUCUGCUGUGUCUUGUGUACUUUAAUUAUUCUUUCAACAAACAAAAACUAUUUAUGAAAACUCCAUUUCUCUCUGAAAAGUACAUUUUUCAGAUGUAAUGUGUAAGCCGUGCUAUCUCUGCUGUCUGAAAAAAUUAUUUUUCCCAUUCUAAUUAUAAAGGAUAUUAUUGCUUUGUAGGAUAGUUGCAGACCCUGACACAAAGAUAUGGCAAUUGAAAACCAGGCAAUUAAAUAGCUCAAAAAGGAAGAAAAGAAAUGCAAUUCAAAAAGAUCUAUGCAGAGAACCCAUAGCUGUCUGCAACCCUCCCCAUUACUCUGUGUAGGUAGUACUCAGGAUUAGCUAUGGAAACAAAUGAUGUCAGAACCAGUCCUCUAAACCGUUUCAAUUUUCCAAUAAGAAAAUAUGCUGUAGAACUGUGGUGUGGUAUUGGAUAUGAAACAAAUUGUUUGGGGUCUUUUUAAUGUCAAUAGAAUAUUUUUUUCAUUAAAUUUUAAUUCAUCUGUGCUGUAUACUGUGCAUAUUUUGUUUGCUAUUAAAUAAAAAAAUCUUUCCUGAUAAGGACAUCUUUUCUGAAAGUGAUUCUUAAAAUAGACUAGCUUGAUGCUGUGGAUAGUGCUUUGACAUUGAAGAAAACCAGUGAGAUGCAAAUAAAUUCUUGCAAGGCUGGAAUUGAUGCCUGUAUACUUUAGAAAUGGUUUGACUCAUUAGUAGAUUUAUAGGCUGCACAGAGAGCUGGAUCUUUGAAAGAAGUCAGUGAAUUAAGGGCAGACUAUUACCCUGUAGCUCCCAUUAGCCUGCACAUUAACCAUCUAGAUCUGCAGAUAUUUCUGUCCCAUACAAAUCACUGCAAUAAUGGGUAUAGGUUUUAUAUAAAGUCAUCAUGGCCAUAAAAUGGAAUGUAGGAACAUUUUACCACUACUGUAGUUACAAUGGCCAAAAAUAACCAUACAUUUGAAUACAGCUUUGUCAGAAUUUUUACUCUCACAAAUCUGAGGUAGCUGAAUAUCAGAGAGUUAGGUUUCCUGGUAUUGUUUGGUUUGGUUUUUUUUCAGUAAUAAUUCAUAACAUCAUUUAACUACUUUCAUAGAAAAAUACAAUUUGACAAAUCUGAUAGAAAAUAUACCUGCUCUUGGCUGAGGGCAAAGGAAUGGCUAAGAGGACCUGUCAUCUCUGGUUGCAAGCCACUCUUCUUAUCCUUUCUCUUUCAAACAGUGAUGAGUUAUGGUGACAGACACAGUGAAAUAGAGCAGCCCCUUCCAAAGGGUUAUUUAUAGUGUUCUGUGUGCAGCAGGGGCAUAGGAAAGGUCAGCAAGGUCAUGAAGAUUCCACAUUGAAGAGUUUCAUCAUGGGGAAGAACAUUUGCCUGUGGCAUUUUGAAUUUCAGUUACUCUACAUGAGAUUCAUAAAACCAAAUGAAGCUUGCAAAGUAGUAGCUACUUUGGAGCUAAGCAUCUGGGCUUAUUCAUAGUUAUUAGAAAUAGGUAUUUGAAGGACACAGUUAAUUUCAUCAAAAAGGUCCAAAAUGGGUCAAUGCAAUUGUGUUCUGGAGCUACGCAUUUGUCUCUAUUGACUACAAAGACAAGACAAUGUAUUGGUACAAGUAUAAACAGUGGCAGUUUAAAAAUCUAAAGGUAAAUGAAAUUUAUUUCUGACUUUUCCCUCAUUUGCAUAUUGCCAUUCAUUUUCAUGUGAAAAGGAAUCAGUGGACUCAAAACAGAUUUACCAUAAUGCCGUUAGAUGAUUUUUGACCGUUCAAUAGCUAGUUAUAUCUGCCUUAUGUUCUUUAGUACAAUAACCUGUCACAGACUUCAAAUUUUGGGUGAUACUUCUGUAUUAUAUAAGCAGAAGUUAAUUAUUUAAUAAUAAUAUUUAAUAAGUUAAUUAUUGUUCAUUAAACUGAAAAUUAAAACCAAAAAGCUAUGCUAUGCAUGCUAACUUAUGAAUUUCCAGGGUAAUAGACUUUCUUCUACAGUCUUCAACAUUGAACAGUGACAAAAAUGGAAAAGAUGAAGAUUGCAAUAUCUUCCCUGAUUUUAUUUUAAAUGCAAUGAAAGAAAUUUCAGCCUCAUCCUGCCUGCCCACCAAUGUAUGCACCUAAACAUAAAGACAAAACUUUGUUGGUCACUUCACCUAACUUCAGUUUGCUGAAGUACUCCAAAGUUGCUAACAUGCUCUAUUUGAAAAGUGUGCUUUGAAAGGAUCCUGUAGUGUGGAUAUAAUAUCCAGCAGAAGCUAAAAAAUAGCACAAUUUUGCUGUACUUGCAUUUUUACAUCUUCUUACAAAUGUUAUGAAUCCCCAUAAAACUCUGCAGGAACAGGAGUGUUUUAUUCAUUGACAAGCCCAAAGCUACGGCUAAUGAACCCAGGCCAGCAAUGCAGCUGUCAUCAGCUGAGCUGGGAUAUUCGUGGAAAAGAUUUUUUUUAUGCGUUCAGCAUCUCUUUGCUGAGUGUGUUCAGACUUGGCACAGGUAGAAAUAGCCAGUGUUGAGUUAUUUUCUGCUUUGAUAGGAGAUACUUGUGUUCAGUGAGUUUUUUCUCCCACAUACGACAGCUAUAUUCUCAGUUUCUUAUAGACUUCAUAAAAAUUAGCUAACCAGAGUUACAAAAAUACACUGAAAUAAGUAAUAGUCAUUCAAAAACCUUGCCUACCAGUCUUCUUGUAGUGAUAUGGAUUAUUUAGAAUUGUCAGAUAAAAUAAGGCAAUGACGCUGAAAAGAUGUUUAAGGCAAAUUGGAUGUAUAUAUGAUGAAUUCAAUUUCCAUUCAUUUCUCAGUGAGAAUUUUUAAAGGAGAAAGUUAUAAUUAUAGUCAUGUUUUGAAUAAACACAAUGAGACUGAUUUCUUGUUUAUAAACCAACACUCAUGUUUUGUUAUGCAUAUAUGACUAUACUGUUAAUUUUUUGUCUCAGAGAAGUGUGUUACUUAGUACUUUUGUCAUACAUUUCUGUCAUUAUCCUGAACAAAAGUGUUGAAGAUAUUGUGGCUUAAAAACAAUUUUAAAAGGCCACCCAAACAAGCAGCUCACCCUCCAAGAAAAAAAAAAAAAAAAUCUGAUGGAAGAAAUCUCUUUCUAUAUUGGAGUAAUAUUUGGGGUAAUUUAUUGGUGUUUUUUUCUGAGUAUUCAUUUUGCUAUGGGUAUGGUAAUUAUUUUUAUUGUGAAUGAACUCAGAAGUGUUCAGAUUAGUAAAUGAGUGCUUUUCUAAAUCUUAAUAAUGAAAGUUCAAUAAGUGAUUCUAAAAUCACUUCUGACAGAUCUCAGCAAUAACAGAGGAAUAUAGUUUUCAAUUAAUUUGUGUACUUCAGCACAUUUAUGUCAAUGAGACUGAUUAUAUGUUAUGGUUGUGCAAAGAAUUGAUUUUUAAAUUUAGCUUCCAAAUUAAGCAAUAGAAAUAAUUUUGUUGUGAAAAACAAGUGUUUUGCAGUUGGAGUUUUAUUUUUCCACUUUAGUUCUGAGAAUAAUGAAAAAAUAAUCACUUAGUUUGAGACUAAAAUGUUUUGUGGCCUUGUAUAAACAGUUUUCUUGACACACAGGUAAGAAAAAGCAAAGAAGAACAUGGACCAAAUCCAGAAAAAGCUGCUGGAUAAAGCCAAAUUUUUCUUUCUGUUUGAGUAUUAUAACAUUUAUUUGCACUGUGUACCUUAGAUUUAGUUUUCAGUUCAGCUUACAGGAAUUAAAUCUUAAACUUCUCUGA
This is a long non-coding RNA of Lonchura striata (white-rumped munia), 12624 nucleotides long. RefSeq lists it as uncharacterized. Lineage: Eukaryota; Metazoa; Chordata; Aves; Passeriformes; Estrildidae. The record is from RefSeq and is a predicted model, not a curated record.